AUUGAACGCUGGCGGCAGGCUUAACACAUGCAAGUCGAGCGGGGAAGGUUGCUUCGGUAACUGACCUAGCGGCGGACGGGUGAGUAAUGCUUAGGAAUCUGCCUAUUAGUGGGGGACAACAUUCCGAAAGGAAUGCUAAUACCGCAUACGCCCUACGGGGGAAAGCAGGGGAUCUUCGGACCUUGCGCUAAUAGAUGAGCCUAAGUCGGAUUAGCUAGUUGGUGGGGUAAAGGCCUACCAAGGCGACGAUCUGUAGCGGGUCUGAGAGGAUGAUCCGCCACACUGGGACUGAGACACGGCCCAGACUCCUACGGGAGGCAGCAGUGGGGAAUAUUGGACAAUGGGCGGAAGCCUGAUCCAGCCAUGCCGCGUGUGUGAAGAAGGCCUUUUGGUUGUAAAGCACUUUAAGCGAGGAGGAGGCUCCUUUAGUUAAUACCUAAAGUGAGUGGACGUUACUCGCAGAAUAAGCACCGGCUAACUCUGUG
RNAcentral lists this ribosomal RNA (485 nucleotides) under uncultured bacterium. Its description in RNAcentral is "partial 16S ribosomal RNA". It matches the Rfam family "Bacterial small subunit ribosomal RNA", at positions 30 to 507 of the family's 1533-position model. The record is from RNAcentral.